AUUUGGAAUAUUCAGUUCAAAUACAGUACCUUUUCUUUAUCAUUUCUUUGUUUUUUCCCUCUCCAAUUAGUAUACACUUAAAGAAGAUAUUACUUGCAUUUCAAAUGCACAUACUUCCUCAUAAUUGUCUUUGAACAUUAAAAAGAAACUUCAAAGUGGCACUACAAUACAAACCAGUCAUUUUCUAGAAUUUCACAUUUAAAUAUAGUCUGGCCUUCCAUAUAAACAUCACCAGGUGUGAGCUCCCUUAGUUACGCCAAGAGUAACAGCAAUCAUGGCAAGGAUAGAAGCUAUUGCACAUGCAACAUAUCCAGGCUUUUCUCUGUAAUCCACUUGUACACAAAGUAGAACAAAAGUGCCAACAUACCAAGGAAUGCCACCUAAAAAGAAGCCAAUAAUAAACAAGAACCAUCCCAUGCCCAUACCACAGCAUGGAAGUCUAUGUUCUCUCGAGGGCAUUCCUUCAGCGAGCUCAUAACCUGUUGCACAGUUAUUAUGUCCAUGGGAAUAAUACCGAGGAAUAACGGUAUAGCCAUGAGGAGCAACCGGCUGAGGGAAACCGACGACUGGAUGAGGAGGUGGCGGCGGAGCAGGAGGGUAAUAGUUGGCGACGCCCUGAAAAGUCCCAUAAUAGUACCGGCUCUGCGGGUUGCCAGCGACAAAGCUGUCUUUCCCUUCUUCGGUCAUCGUUCC
Molecule: unclassified non-coding RNA, 693 nt
Filed under: Hevea brasiliensis (rubber tree)
Lineage: Eukaryota; Viridiplantae; Streptophyta; Magnoliopsida; Malpighiales; Euphorbiaceae
Source: RNAcentral